Molecule: long non-coding RNA, 247 nt
Filed under: Elaeis guineensis (African oil palm)
Lineage: Eukaryota; Viridiplantae; Streptophyta; Magnoliopsida; Arecales; Arecaceae
Description: long non-coding RNA (EGUI_LNC017125)
Source: RNAcentral
CCAUCGAGUCAAUCCAGUCCGAGCCCACAUGAACAGAUCCUGGUCCGAGUUGACUUGCCUUUGGCUCCGACUUAAGAGGGCCGAGUGACUCAGUCUCCUUCUUCCUCUAACCAAUCGGCACCUCUGGCUUAGGCUACCAUCGAUGGAUGGUCACCAGCCACGACCCAAGGUGCGGCCCAUCAACUACCGCUCCCAUCUCCUUCCUUUCAGCCCGGAUCAACAUUCUCUGAGCACUAUCUAACCACCA